CCUGUGGUAGGAGAGCGUUCUGUAGGCCUGCGAAGGCAGAUUGUGAAGUCUGCUGGAGGUAUCAGAAGUGCGAAUGCUGACAUGAGUAGCGAUAAAGGGGGUGAAAAGCCCCCUCGCCGUAAGUCCAAGGUUUCCUGCGCAACGUUCAUCGGCGCAGGGUGAGUCGGCCCCUAAGGCGAGGCAGAGAUGCGUAGCUGAUGGGAAGCUGGUUAAUAUUCCAGCACCGUCGUAGAAUGCGAUGGGGGGACGGAUGGCAGAAGGUCAUCGGGGUGUUGGAUGUCCCCGUUGUUGCACUGUAGAAGGCGCUUAGGCAAAUCCGGGCGCGGAAUUCAAGGGUGUGACUGGAUAGGACUUCGGUCCUAAACUGAUUGGAAGCUGUUCCAAGAAAAGCCUCUAAGCUUCAGUUCUACGAGACCGUACCGCAAACCGACACAGGUGGACGGGAUGAAUAUUCCAAGGCGCUUGAGAGAACUCAGGAGAAGGAACUCGGCAAAUUAAUACCGUAACUUCGGGAGAAGGUAUACCCCGGUAGUGUGAAGGGCUCGCGCCCUG
Molecule: ribosomal RNA, 552 nt
Filed under: Candidimonas sp. SYP-B2681
Lineage: Bacteria; Pseudomonadati; Pseudomonadota; Betaproteobacteria; Burkholderiales; Alcaligenaceae
Description: Bacterial large subunit ribosomal RNA
Rfam family: Bacterial large subunit ribosomal RNA
Source: Rfam by way of RNAcentral